RNAcentral lists this transfer RNA (90 nucleotides) under Aquabacter sp. L1I39. RNAcentral's name for it is "tRNA-Ser". It matches the Rfam family "tRNA". Rfam says of the family: Transfer RNA (tRNA) molecules are approximately 80 nucleotides in length. Their secondary structure includes four short double-helical elements and three loops (D, anti-codon, and T loops). The record is from RNAcentral. Lineage: Bacteria; Pseudomonadati; Pseudomonadota; Alphaproteobacteria; Hyphomicrobiales; Xanthobacteraceae. RNAcentral also lists the same sequence under 1 other name.
GGAGAGGUGGCAGAGUGGUUGAAUGCACCGCACUCGAAAUGCGGCAUACGGGCGACCGUAUCGGGGGUUCAAAUCCCUCCCUCUCCGCCA